GAAAAACGGGCUAAUAACACUUCCCUGUGGCUAUUUUGUCUCAGAUUACUCCUACAUAAAGUCAAAUUAAGUGGACAACAGGACAAGGAUGCCCGCCUGUCCAUGUCUCUGUCCUUUGCUCUGCACUAUGGAGCCAAUCAGAUGGAACUUCACAUAAAUCCUGUUAUAAAAGCAUCUUAUUUCAUCCCACUGCUCCAUCAUUUCACAUUACUGCACUAUAAACAUGACAUGCACCCCUACAAUCUUUACUCCUCAUUUACAUUGAGUGCACAAAAAAGUUUGGAUUGAUUGAUUGAUUUUGUCCGGGGGAAAAAAACAUACAUAACACUAAGAUGACCGGGAUUGCACAGUAAAGUUGGGGACUUAUUUCCAUUGUGGUCCCUAUUUUUUUUUGUUACAUAAAUACAUAAACAAUUACAUAGAGACGAAAAAAUACUGAAUCUCCAGAUGAGUAUGAUGUGGUUUUAAGUACAAUUCUUACCAGUUUGGCUGGUAGCUUAUUCUUUAGAUGUUUGUGGCUGUUGGUGAACCAUGAUGUGCAGGCAUAAUCAAGUGACACUGGACUGGUGCACUUGCCAGAGUUUUUAGGGUGUCUAUAGCUAGGUUUCCAUUCAGUUGGCGACAGAUUUUCAUGUGAAUAUUGUGGUAAACCGUGGGGUGUUGGGCUGAGCUGCAGAAAAAAACACACAACCCUCCCCUGUGUCCCCCCAAAAACACAAAACCCUCCCCUCUGUCCCCCCAAAAAACACACUACCCUCCCCUGUGUCCCCCGAAAAAACGCACUACCCUCCCAAAAUAAAAAAGAAAAGGUUGGCAACCCUCCCGUGUUUUGGACCACCCCUCACCCCAGUCCAAUCUGUCCCUAAGCACUGUGAAAUUAUUUGUUGCCCAAAUAAGGAGGGCUUUCUGGGAAGGCUUAAUAGCCUACUCCUACCUUUACAAGCAUGCUCAAUUCAUGAUUUCUUUAAGUGCUUUAAGUCCUGGAAUAUGCUUAAUCUGGAUCUGGGAAACUUGCCAUAGAGCCUCUCAUAGAUGGGCUUCCUUUGAUGCCUGUAUCCUCCCUUUGCUCCAGGCAUGAGGAGAGACUGUGACCUGGCCAAAUUCACUGAUGUCCCCAAAUCCUUGUCUGAUAACUUAAAGUAUCAGAGUGCUGUCAUUGUCUAAAUGCAUAAGUAUUUUUCUUUAUGUGUUUCUGGUUUUUGUGCAGAGGCUAUCCAGUUCUUCUGGCUGGAGAAUGGUGUAUUGCUGACACAUGGGGAUACUGAGGGGGAAACUACUUCCUCGCCCUAAAACUAAGACCCACAUAGAGUAUUCUGCCACAGGAGUAGGUGAAGAGGCUUAUCUGCGCUUCGGAGGUAAAAGACAUGGCUGAGUUUGUCAUCAGACAGCUGUCGAUUUCCAGUUCUGUCUAGACUGUUUCCAUGGAAACGGAUACUGUUCGGAACCAGAACCAGAAGACUGAAUGAAGACUGUGAGUCUGAAAACACCCUCAACAACAGCUCUAUUACCAUACAGGCCACAGUACAGGCACAGAGACUGACGGGUGUUCCUGAUAACACUAUCACAUGACUGGAAGACACAAAAGGAUGCUAUCUAUCAGAUGGGAAGCAGAAGGCACAAGCUGUGGUUUUGUCAACGGACAGUCUCAACUGUUCCACAGAGAUAGGAAAACACACACACACACUGCAUGCCUUCCUGUGGCUUCCUGUGCAUUUAGCAACAUUUCCGGAAACUGCCACCAUACUCGAGGACAUUCAACCAUCAAGCCAAAUACCUCAUAGGGAAAUUAAAAAGGGUCAACUUUUUUAUGUAUGUCAAUAAACAUAUUUAAUUCUGGAUUUCAGAAUUGACAAUUCA
This is a long non-coding RNA of Oncorhynchus keta (chum salmon), 1857 nucleotides long. RefSeq lists it as uncharacterized. NCBI's taxonomy places the organism in Eukaryota, Metazoa, Chordata, Actinopteri, Salmoniformes, Salmonidae. The record is from RefSeq and is a predicted model, not a curated record. The transcript has 3 exons.